RNAcentral lists this ribosomal RNA (443 nucleotides) under uncultured bacterium. RNAcentral describes it as "partial 16S ribosomal RNA". It matches the Rfam family "Bacterial small subunit ribosomal RNA", at positions 339 to 795 of the family's 1533-position model. The record is from RNAcentral.
CUACGGGCGGCUGCAGUCGAUAAUAUUCCACAAUGGGCGAAAGCCUGAUGGAGCGACGCCGCGUGCAGGAUGAAGGCCUUCGGGUUGUAAACUGCUUUUUUUGGGGACGAAUUUCGUGACGGUACCCAAAGAAUAAGAGGUUACUAACUCAUGUGCCAGCAGUAGCGGUAAUACAGAGACCUCAAGCGUUAUCCGGAUUUAUUGGGCGUAAAGAGCAUGUAGGCGGGUAUAUUAGUCAGAUGUCAAAUCUCCGAGCUCAACUCGGAAACUGCAUUUGAAACGGUAUAUCUAGAGAGAGUGAGAGACUAAUGGAACAUAUGGUGUAGCAGUGAAAUGCGUUGAUAUCAUAUGGAACACCAAAGGCGAAGGCAUUUAGUUGGCACUCUUCUGACGCUGAGAUGCGAAAGCGUGGGUAGCGAAUGGGAUUAGAUACCCUGGUAGUC